This is a long non-coding RNA of Homo sapiens (human), 2099 nucleotides long. Lineage: Eukaryota; Metazoa; Chordata; Mammalia; Primates; Hominidae. The record is from Ensembl.
UUGUCUGCAAGUGAUAAAUGGUGCCGAGCAAUUCAUCAGUUCUUACAAGUAAACACUGCUGUCCCACUAAAAAUAUGUUUUGUUCUGAGUUAAUGGUAUGGAACAAGGCAGCCUCCACAAACAGCUAUCUUUUAUUGUGGAGGGGCCACUGAAACUUGGAGCAAAGUGGAGGAGAUUGGCAUUCAUUUUCUUGUACAUUAGCAUUUCAUUUGUGAUUCGGAUGAUGCAGCUCUAGGUGGAUUGACUAUGAAAGGCGCUGAAUAUCUUCAGGAAAAUGGGUUCCAUGAGAAGUGACAUCCUCCUCGAAUCAAAAGACUUGAGGUUAACAUGGGCAUAAUGUUCUGGAUGAAGCUUUGGAAGUACUUGUGAAGGAUUCUCAGGAUGAUGGAGUGAGUGAUGGAAUAGGUUGCCAACUGUAGUUACUCCACUCAGCACAGAAUGGCUGCGGGGAAAUAUAAUCAGACAUGCCCAAAGAAGUCUGCUUAGGGUGAAACAAAUACCUUUGAGGUUUAAAUCAGAAAGGAAGGAGAGACUGUUUCUACAGGUGUCAUACAAAAAUCAAUACUGAGCCAAGGAUUAUUGGAUCCCAUAGAACCACGGAGACUUGGUAGUGAAAUUCUUCCAAAGCAUUCCAUCCGUGCAGGCAGAUGGUGUUCCUAGGUUUGGAAAUAUAAAUCCCAUGGGAAGUCAGCUGAAGACCAUUUUAUGCAUCACUCAUCCUGUUAGAGCCCUGUGCUGUUCUGUCUCUCUAUAAGACUGGCUGAAACCACCACGGUUGUUUACAAUUUAUGCUCUAACUUUGGAUCACCUAGUUAAUACUCUAACUCCGAUUAUUACCAAAGACAAUGUUCUAUAAAAGAUAUUGUCUAUUAGAAGGAUGCUUCUGCAUUAUUAAUAAAAUCACAGGGAAAAUGCAACAUUUUGGAUGUCACAUCUGAUAAGUUGGCAGUUAAAGAACAGAAACAGCAAUAAGACUGCGUGGCUACAUUUUCCCAGUGCCACCAACUGGGAUUUAAGCUGACUAACAUUUUGAAAGCCCAGCCCAUUUCAUUCACAGCAGGAUGGCAGUGGGUGACUGAUCGUACCCGCCAGCUGGCUAAUGUCAUAAUUAACAAAGUUGCUACUACAUCUGCAAAGUUUAAUCGAAAAAUUUGCCAGUGAUAUGAUGGCCUUGUCACAGAGAUCACAAGGGACACGGAGUUGACUUUUGCUCAAGGUGGAACGACAGAGCUGUGUAGGCAAGAUGAGAAAUUGCGAACUUGUUCGGCCAAAGGAGGCUAAUAAUGAAGGGGCCGGGAAGGAGGCCAGUGCUACCAGGGUUAUCUCACAACCUCAGAUGCUGGAUAAGUCGACGGAGGCAGAAUCGCUUUGGGAUGACAUUCAGAAAGCCUGGAGUGAUUACUUGCAAGAGAAAAGCCUACCUAUUCUUUCCAAGGUGCAGGAAUAUUCCCCUGACCUGCUCAUCCAGUGGUCCAGUAAUGAAUUACUGGAGACCUGCCUUAGACAAAGAAUGCACUCGGAGCCCCAACACACCUAAAGCCAUGCUUUGAAGGAUCUGCCAAGCUCACUUUUAAUCAUGAGAAAGAAAUUACCCACACGGAGUCAGCAGAAAAUGAGAAAGUAGAGCUCGUGCUGUGAAUAAUUCCAGCAAGUGCCAAGGGGCUAGUUGAGGAAUGGCUUCAUGAGCUUUAAUCAAAUUACCCUUUGGCUUCAACUAUGAGAGCUUUCAGAUCUUCUAGCCCUUAAAAUUCAGGCAGAAUUUUAUCUUCAUCAGCCACAAGAACUACAGAGCUGUAAAAAGAUCAAACACUAGCUGAAUUGCUGGGGUUGCAAAGAGGAAUAAAACCGUCACCUGCUUGGAGGACGUCAAAAUCUACAAAGAAGAGGAGAAAUGUGAGUUACUGUUCAUAAAGCAUACUCUGGGGUUUGAGAAAAAGUUGCUUGCAAAAACUAAGUAAACAGACAGCUUUGGAAUGUUGAUUAAGGACGGGGAAACUAAACCAGGAUUUGUUGUUGGAUAAUCAAAUUUUAUAUUCACAACUGAUGGAGGAGCAGAAAUGAUGUCAAAGGAAAUGGAUUUGUCUGGAAGGAAGGACUAA